Molecule: unclassified non-coding RNA, 325 nt
Filed under: soil metagenome
Description: partial contains 5.8S ribosomal RNA, internal transcribed spacer 2, and large subunit ribosomal RNA
Rfam family: 5.8S ribosomal RNA (bases 1-120)
Source: RNAcentral
GAUGAAGAACGUAGCGAAAUGCGAUGAGUAAUGCGAAUUGCAGAAUUCAGUGAGUCAUCGAAUCUUUGAACGCACAUUGCGCCCUGUGGUAUUCCGCAGGGCAUGCCUGUUCGAGCGUCAUUUCAACCCUCAAGCCCCGCUUGGUGUUGGGCCCCGCCCGCCGUGGCCGGCCCUAAAGACAGUGGCGGCGCCGCCUGGCCCUCAGCGUAGUACAGCUCUCGCUCCAGGGUCCGGCGGCCGCCUGCCAGAACCCCCCCAACUCUGUGGUUGACCUCGGAUCAGGUAGGGAUACCCGCUGAACUUAAGCAUAUCAAUGAGCGGAGGA